This 497-nucleotide ribosomal RNA is filed under the name uncultured bacterium. RNAcentral's name for it is "partial 16S ribosomal RNA". It matches the Rfam family "Bacterial small subunit ribosomal RNA", at positions 28 to 507 of the family's 1533-position model. The record is from RNAcentral.
GAUGAACGCUGGCGGCGUGCCUAAUACAUGCAAGUCGAGCGAACAGACGAGGAGCUUGCUCCUCUGACGUUAGCGGCGGACGGGUGAGUAACACGUGGAUAACCUACCUAUAAGACUGGGAUAACUUCGGGAAACCGGAGCUAAUACCGGAUAAUAUAUUUAACCGCAUGGUUCAAUAGUGAAAGACGGUUUUGCUGUCUCUUAUAGAUGGAUCCGCGCCGCAUUAGCUAGUUGUUAAGGUAACGGCUUACCAAGGCAACGAUGCGUAGCCGACCUGAGAGGGUGAUCGGCCACACUGGAACUGAGACACGGUCCAGACUCCUACGGGAGGCAGCAGUAGGGAAUCUUCCGCAAUGGGCGAAAGCUUGACGGAGCAACGCCGCGUGAGUGAUGAAGGUCUUCGGAUCGUAAAACUCUGUUAUUAGGGAAGAACAAAUGUGUAAGUAACUAUGCACGUCUUGACGGUACCUAAUCAGAAAGCCACGGCUAACUACGUG